CACAAUGCCUAUUUCUAGCCACUCUGGUCAUCACUUUGAACUCUACUGCCCUGCCAUCAGGUGACCAACCGUCAGACCGGCCCUUUAAAUUCUCUGGGAGUUUUGAAAAUCCCCUUCUUGUUUGCUCAGCAAGGCACGGAGUGCUCUGUGACUCUUUCCAGGUGACCACGCCUCCACCAACCAUGUGAUCCCCAGUAUGGAGCAAUCCUGGACCUCAUCAGUGUUUGGGGGAAGGAAGCUGUCCAGUCCCAGCUGCACUCCAGCCAUAGGAAUUGCAAUACCUUCGGGCAGAUGUCAAGGGACAUGAUGGAAAAGGGCCAUAAAUGGGACACACUGCAGUGCAGGGUUAAAGUUAAGGACCUGUGGAAUACCUAUCACAAAGGCCAUGAGGCAAACCGUCACUCUGGUGCUGCCCCCGUGACCUGCCGUUUCUACAAAGAGCUGGACGCAAUACUUGGAGGCGACCCUACCUUCACUCUGAAGACCAUCAUGGACACUUCAGAGCCCAGUGAGGGUGCUGAGGAGGAGGGAGACAGCCCUGCAUCCCUAGAUGCAUGCAGCCAGGAGCUGCUCUCAAGCCAGGAGGAAGGUAGCCAGUAGCAGCGGCUGGUGCUUGGGGAAGAACAAAAAUACCAGAGGAGGUGCCUGAUGUAACCUUGAGAUUUCAGCCAUCCUUGUUAUCACUGGCUGAAAGACUCCAAAGAAUCGGGGAAGCGGCCAUGUAGAAGCAAAGAGGACGUGCUGCAUGAAGUAAUGCAGCAGUCCCUUAAUGAAAAUCAAGAAGUGCAGGAUGGCAGGAGAGUGAAAGGAGGGUCUGCUAGCAGAAUGUGGAUUGCUGGCACUAAAGCACGGAGCGGCUGCUAAGUAUUAUGGAGCACCAAGCAGACUCGAUACAGGCACUUAUAGCAAUGCAGACGGAGCACUUCCGUGCUGGCCCCCUCACCCCCACCCCUCUGCAGCCCUUGUCCCAAAACUCUUUCCCUUGUGCCCCUAUGUCACCUCCAACCCACUUUCCCCUACAUCUGGGUUCUUAUUACCACCAGCUGCCUCUAACACCCGUAGCUUCACCACCCAGCCCUGCAAAUUACCCACUGCACUCAACUCCCAUCACCGUGCAUUUUAGCCAGCCAGAAGUGCAGCACUCAUUGCACAGCACUCCAACCAGGAAGGCUGAGUAUGAUAACAGGACACAUGCAAAUCUGUGAGUGUACCGUUCCCCACCUGACCCCCUUGCCCUUUCUGUUUCCUAAGCCGUUGUUUUUCUUUUCAAUAAAUGGCUUUUUUGGCUUUGA
Molecule: long non-coding RNA, 1292 nt
Organism: Dermochelys coriacea (leatherback sea turtle)
Lineage: Eukaryota; Metazoa; Chordata; Testudines; Dermochelyidae
Exons: 2
Source: RefSeq, a predicted model, not a curated record